Molecule: long non-coding RNA, 309 nt
Filed under: Salmo salar (Atlantic salmon)
Lineage: Eukaryota; Metazoa; Chordata; Actinopteri; Salmoniformes; Salmonidae
Description: lncRNA (ENSSSAG00000122262.1)
Source: RNAcentral
UAUACAGGGUAUUACGGUACAGAGUCAAUGUGGAGGCUAUAUACAGGGGGUACCGGUACAGAGUCAAUGUGGAGGCUAUAUACAGGGUGUUACGGUACAGAGUCAAUGUGGAGGCUAUAUACAGGGGGUACUGGUACAGAGUCAAUGUGGAGGCUAUAUACAGGGGGUACCGGUACAGAGUCAAUGUGGAGGCUAUAUACAGGGGGGUACCGGUACAGAGUCAAUGUGGAGGCUAUAUACAGGGGGUACCAGUACAGAGUCAAUGUGGAGGCUAUAUACAGGGGGUACCGGUACAGAGUCAAUGUGGAG